Molecule: ribosomal RNA, 133 nt
Filed under: uncultured bacterium
Lineage: Bacteria
Description: partial 16S ribosomal RNA
Rfam family: Bacterial small subunit ribosomal RNA
Source: RNAcentral
CGGAGAGGCUUCGGCAAGUGGGGGAAACCCCUGACCGAGCGACGUCGCGUGGGUGAUGAAGGUCUUUGGACCGUAAAACCCUGUCAGAUGGGAAGAAACACCAUUCGGUUAAUACCCGAGUGGCUUGACGGUA